GCCUGGCUGGCUCAGUUGGUAGAGCAUGUGACUCUUGAUCUUUGGGUCGUGAGUUCAAGAUCCACGUUGGGUG
This 73-nucleotide transfer RNA is filed under the name Felis catus (domestic cat). It matches the Rfam family "tRNA". Rfam says of the family: Transfer RNA (tRNA) molecules are approximately 80 nucleotides in length. Their secondary structure includes four short double-helical elements and three loops (D, anti-codon, and T loops). RNAcentral also lists the same sequence under 3 other names. Lineage: Eukaryota; Metazoa; Chordata; Mammalia; Carnivora; Felidae. The record is from Rfam by way of RNAcentral.